UCAAGCACUUUUAUCUUCUCAGCCAGCAGCUGAAUUUCCUUGUUCUGAGGAGGAAUGUCAUAAGGCACAAAAGGCUCAUUUCGCAUAGAGAACUGGUCAGCCUCUCUAUCUUCCUCCUGAUCUUCGUCAAAACCAUAAAACGGAGGCACAAAGUUGUCUUUCGUAUUCUGCCCCGGUUGGCCACCAACACCACCAGCAUUAUUCACCAGACCAACUGUUGU
This 221-nucleotide long non-coding RNA is filed under the name Lathyrus oleraceus (garden pea). Its description in RNAcentral is "Pisum sativum (pea) long non-coding RNA (PSAT_LNC041197)". The record is from RNAcentral. Lineage: Eukaryota; Viridiplantae; Streptophyta; Magnoliopsida; Fabales; Fabaceae.